UAGUGUGUCGAUGAAGAGCGCAGCAAACUGUGUGAAUUAAUGUGAACUGCAUCCUGCCAUGAACAUCGACAUCUUGAUUGCACAUUGCGGCCAUGGGUUAGCCUGUGGCCACGCCUGUCCGAGAGUCGGCUUACAAACUAUCACGACGCUCAAUUGGUCGUGGCUUGAGAGUCUGCCAGCUGACGUGGUUCCCUACGCGCUACGGCGCACGAGGGUGUCAGAACAAUGGCUUCUCUCCAAUUAACCAGUAAGCACCCUUUUGCGGUUGUGUGGAMGAAUUCGUGGCUCAGUGUACAAUUUAUAGCACGCGUCGUUCAUACUCCUGUAGACUGGUGUCUGGUUUCUUUUUUAAUAAGCAUGUCAUUAUGACUUGCUAUUCCUGACCUCGGAUCAGACGUGAAUACCCGCUGAACUUAAGCAUAUCACUAAGCGGAGG
This 436-nucleotide ribosomal RNA is filed under the name Transversotrema cabrarum. RNAcentral describes it as "eukaryotic LSU rRNA". The stretch from base 4 to 128 matches the Rfam family "5.8S ribosomal RNA", at positions 29 to 154 of the family's 154-position model. The record is from RNAcentral. Lineage: Eukaryota; Metazoa; Platyhelminthes; Trematoda; Azygiida; Transversotrematidae.